This 216-nucleotide ribosomal RNA is filed under the name uncultured bacterium. RNAcentral describes it as "partial 16S ribosomal RNA". It matches the Rfam family "Bacterial small subunit ribosomal RNA", at positions 115 to 334 of the family's 1533-position model. The record is from RNAcentral.
GUAUGGGGAUCUGCCCGAUAGAGGGGAAUAACUACUGGAAACGGUGGCUAAUACCGCAUAAUGUCUACGGACCAAAGCAGGGGCUCUUCGGACCUUGCACUAUCGGAUGAACCCAUAUGGGAUUAGCUAGUAGGUGGGGUAAAGGCUCACCUAGGCGACGAUCUCUAGCUGGUCUGAGAGGAUGAUCAGCCACACUGGGACUGAGACAUGGCCCAG